This 200-nucleotide ribosomal RNA is filed under the name uncultured organism. RNAcentral's name for it is "partial small subunit ribosomal RNA". It matches the Rfam family "Bacterial small subunit ribosomal RNA", at positions 1183 to 1382 of the family's 1533-position model. The record is from RNAcentral.
CGUCAAGUCAUCAUGCCCCUUAUGCCCAGGGCUGCACGCAUGCUACAAUGGCCGGUACAAUGGGCUGCGAACCCGCGAGGGGGAGCUAAUCCCAUAAAGCCGCUCUCAGUUCGGAUUGCAGGCUGCAACUCGCCUGCAUGAAGCCGGAAUUGCUAGUAAUCGCGGAUCAGCAUGCCGCGGUGAAUCCGUUCCCGGGCCUU